Papaver somniferum (opium poppy) is the source of this 2765-nucleotide long non-coding RNA. RefSeq lists it as uncharacterized. The record is from RefSeq and is a predicted model, not a curated record. Lineage: Eukaryota; Viridiplantae; Streptophyta; Magnoliopsida; Ranunculales; Papaveraceae. The transcript has 7 exons.
CCGCCUAAACUUUUUUCCCACCCAAACAGAAAAUAAACCCUAACUUUGGGAACAUCCUCCAAAACUUUGUUUCCUCCGCCACACAACUCAUUUGUUUCUCUUCCUCUUUCUUUCUCUCCGUCUCUGCAACUCAUUUUUUCAUGUCAAGUUUAAGGAAAUCAAAGAGAAAAACUUCACCUCAAACUCUAAUCAAUCAGAAACUUAGAAAAACUUCAACUCAAACUCAAACAGUAAUCGAUCGGAAACUCAUAAAUCUCAUCUUCAACCUCAGUUUUUGUAGUAUUUGUACGCGUGAAAGAAUGGUGAAGAACAAUUUGGGCAAGGAAGCCACGACAAAAAAGUCUGUUGCAACUCCCAAGAAGAAGAUUAGCAAGCAAGACAGAACUGUCCAGUCUGUCCCAUUACAAAAGAAUAAGAGUUCGCAGCCUUCAAAGUCUGAAAUCAAACAAACAACUCCUAAGAAGAAGAAGAUUUCAUAGAAACCUGCAAUCCAAAAAUCUCCAAGUCAUUCACCAACUGAACAUGAAAAGACACCAAGACGUACAUCACAUAGAUUUAAGAACAGGUCAGAGGAACGAGAACAUACUGCUGAAAAGAGUACUACAACACGAUUAUCACUUAGGAAAAGGAAAAGUUUAGUUGAACCGGAAAGCGCCACACAAUCUGAACCAGUCCAGUUCACAUCAGCAACAUCUCAAAUUGCACGCUCCAAGGAAGUUACUGUGAAGGAAACGACAGUAAAGCGGAAAUUGUACCAAUCAUUCCCAUGUCCGAAUGUCCAAGUCAGGAAUCCAAAUAAUACCUUCUAUGAUAUUCUUGAAGAAGAUGAAGAGGAAGCGUAACUGGAGAAUGUUGUUGCUACUGAAGAGAGGGAAGGUGAAGACAAUGAAAUGGAGAAUGAUAGAGAGAAUGACAUCGCAACAAAUGAAAAUGAAAAAGGAGAUGAGGUUGUACAAGGAGAACAAAAGAGAAAGCAUGUUCCUCGUGGCCCAACACGGAUGGCUUCACUAGGGCUAACAUAGGACAACAAAAAAUCCAUACAAGGCCAUUGUUAGCUUUAACAAUAAAGAUCGGCCUGUUGGUGACCCUUCCGUGCAACUUGCAAGUGUGUUAGGAGUUUUGGUAAGGCGAAACAUUUCAUUAACUUGCAAGGAUUGGAAAGUGGUCCCUAAAGAAUCCAAAUAUAGUAUAUGGAAGAUUGUCCAGGUAAUUUCUUAAAUCUUCGACUCUUUACCUCUUUAGCUAUUUUAACCUUCAAUAUUAAUUUCAACUCCUUUACUGUUAUUUGCAUAUGAGGUUCAUUGUUGAUGAUUUUUACAGAGAUUACUAUUAUGGGAAGAUGGGUUGUUAUCUUAAGGAGGCUAGGUCUAGGAAAGCAUGUAAGAUACUCGCCCUUGAUGAGUUGGAAGAAGAAUAAAGAGAGAAUAGGAUUAAAACACUUAAACCACAGAACAUGUCAUACAAUGAGUGGGAAGAUUUCGUAAAAACUAUUUGCCCGGAGAAAUUCAGAGUUGGUUAUGUAUUAUUAUUUAAUGACAUUCCAUUACUUUGUCACGCAAAAAGACUCAAAAUGCAGGAAAUUCGACAAAAGCAUACCACCUCACACACGCUCAGUAGGCAAGGUUAUGCUCGACUGGAGGCGAAAAUGCAAAAUGAGCAGAAUACAACUGAAGAGAUUGAUAGAGUUCGAUUGUGAAAAAAGGGGUCACGAGCAAAAAGAAGGAAAGGAACCAAAUCCAGGGGUAUUUGAGGCUUUUGUGAGGACCCAAGAAACUUAUUAUUUCUUUGUUUAUGUGUUUGAAUGAUUCAAUUCAUAAAUUUCAGUAAUAUGUUUCACACUAAUACAGGAGAAACUUGCAAGAGCUAAAGAACAUGGUGGUGCCGAUGUUGGUGGAUCAUCUGUCACAGAUGAUCUUCUUGUCAAAGCUCUUGGUGGUGACAAACCAGGUCGACUCAAAGGAAUAGGGUUUGGAUAGACAAAGACAAAGAUGGUUGUCAAGUCCCAUUAUAAGAAGAUCAUUAACGAGUGUCGAGAAAGUCUGAUGGAAUUGAAUGAGAGAUUUAUGAUGUUAGAGGUGAAAAUUUUAUUAUUGAUGUGGUUUGGUCUUUAUAUAGGAAAGGAGCUCGAGAUGUGUCUGUUGCCAUGAUGGAUCACUGUUACAAAAGCCCAGUCCAAAUUAUGAAAAUGCCAGUAACAACCAUGCGAGCGCUAGCAUUGUCCGUGAAAAUGGCAUUCCAUUGAGUAGAACAGACGUGGUGCAAAAGCCAGUGGGAGUUGCAGAGAAGAAUAGAGCUUGCAGGGUACUAAGUUGGUACGUUGAGGUCGAGAUUGUGGCUGAUGCAUUUAUUGCUGAAACUGAUCCAAAGAAGUUUAUCCAUGGAAUGCCAAUAGGUUUUGGAGCUUACAAGGUAUCUGUGAAAACUUCUCGUGUGGAUGAUGCUCUUCUCUACAGGAAAACCAAUUAGUUGAAGUGUAUCCAUGAUGCUAUAGGAACUUGCAUCUCAUGGGCCAAGGAUUUGAUAUUGCUUGACUAGCCAUCUGACUUCUUAAUCUUCUUUGGGAGUGUUUCAAGAAACUUUCUUCUUUUGUUGCUCUUUUUUUGUGUCACUGGAUAUUUUGAAUUGUGGAAUAGGUUAAUGCUUGAAUGAUCUAAAAAUGGUUAACUGUGUGAGGGGUUGAAGUGUUUGAAUUAAUGCUGGUACAUUUUAGUGAAUGCUGGUACAUUUGGAUGAAUAAUGCUGGUAUAUUUAAAUGAUGUAGCCAA